Molecule: long non-coding RNA, 2041 nt
Organism: Theobroma cacao (cacao)
Lineage: Eukaryota; Viridiplantae; Streptophyta; Magnoliopsida; Malvales; Malvaceae
Source: RefSeq, a predicted model, not a curated record
GGUGUGUUUGGAGCGUCAAGGCACAGAGCCGACUAUCCUCGCCUUCCCCUUAGUCAUCUCCUUUCUGAAGCUCCACGCUUCCCACCUUCUCUCCUGCGCGUCGCCAAGCCAAACGCUAUCCUUCUCAAGGCACCACCACCGUUGAGCCGCAGCCGCCGCUUCAGUCGAACAACCUCCUCCGCGGUUAACACUUCUUCAAUUCAACAGCAUUCCUCGACGAACGCCAGCGACGAGUCACAGAGAGCUUCCAAUCUCACAUUUCAACAAGCCAUUCAAAGACUCCAGGAAUAUUGGGCGUCGGUUGGAUGUGCAGUGAUGCAAUGGAGCAACACAUAGAUAACCUAAUAGUUGGAGCCGGGACUAUGAAUCCUUUGACAUACUUGAGUUCUCUGUCCGGUACCAUGGAAUGUUGUGUUAUACUAAAGCUCAAUCCAGGAAAUUCACAAGACCUCUUUUAUUCGUAGCCUUUCAGCAUUGAGUAUUUGGGUGACCUUUUCUUCACAUCUUGAUAUGCAUUGUUUCAUCCUAUGUACUUGGUGCAUGGGGUUUGGGCUGGGAAAUCUGGAUCGAUGGGAUGGAGAUCACACAAUUCACCUACUUCCGGCAGGCUGGAAGUCUUCAGUGUACUGAAGGAAAGAAAAACUUUAAGGAAAUGGAGUAUUGGUGGAAUUUACGUGCCAUUAUUAAAUAAAGUACAAAAAAGUAUGUAUAUAUUUAAAUAUUAUUGUGAUUCUUUAGUGGAAUGCAAAUUUAAUAUUUUACUUAUGUAUGAGUAGAGGAAGAAUAAUAGAAGAAAAAAAUUGAAGUAAAAAGAGUAGUUGAAAGAUCUAAUUGAAAAGAAAUAAUAAGUCGAGAAACAAAAUUGUGAUUAGAAAAGUUUAGAGGACUAAACUGAGAAUGAUGAAUAGUUGAAGGGCCUAAAUUAUAAAGGUUGAAAAGUUUGAGAUUAAAUAGUAAAUAAGAAAUAUUGGAAGACUCAUAUGCAAUUAUGCCAUUCCUAAGUAAAUUGAAUAUCAUGAAGUGUACAUGUGAAAUUAAAAUGCAACUUGGAUGCUGAAUGGCCGGCCAGACCAAUGCAUAGGUUAAACAAUAGAAGAAAUGGGUGGGCGGGGCGGACAACACAAGGUUGUCCCCCCCACCAUGUGUUAACAAUGGGCGGACAACAAAAGGUUGUCCCCCAUGAUACAAAGUAAAGAAAAAAAUGAGUGGAAAAAUAUGUCAAAGGAUUAGAUUUAUGACUAAAUGCUGUGGUAAAACACGGGUGAAGUAGAGAAGCUUUCAUGCCCUUGAACUUACAAUAUUGUAAAGGUUCUUUCUGGAGAAGUGGAAGGAAAAGUUGCGGGGAAGCUGCCCAACCCGAGAGCUAACACCAGCACACAUUGAGUUGGUAAUUUGAUUUGUUUUACAAAGGUGAUGUGGAUUGCUAUGAGGAUGAUGAGAUAAAAGUAAAUUGCAGGUAAUCCUACCAAGUUUUGUAGCCGUACCAAAGGCAACCUUGUCGAGUUUUAAAGGAGCUUCUCGAAUUAAUGCAUUCGAGGUCAGAACCGAGACACACAAUUCCUUGAACGCUCGGGGAUGCUUACUGAGUUGUUGAAAAAUCACUUGGUGGAACUAAAUAAAACUACAAGGGUGAUUGUUUAUUGGUGAGAAAUCCCACCAAUUGAGUUGAGUGGAGCUUUAUAGUUAAAUGCAUGUGGAUGCAUCUCGCAAUAGGAUAUGUGCUGCCAUGUUACAUUGAUUUAUGUGUUUAAGCUUAGAUGAGCAUGCUUAGUCUAGAGAACAAUUAUAUAUAUAUAUAUAUAUAUAUAUAUUUGUAUAUAUGCCAUGCUAUUGGAAAGCAUGAGUUGGUAAGUUAUUCGAUGUGUUUGUACCUAGAUGCAUAUGCUUAGGUCAGAAUAAUUAUAUUUUGUGAUGAUAUUCACCCAUGUCGGGUUGUGUGCCACAUGGUGGCAUUGAAAUAUUGUAAUGUUAUGUAAUUGGGAAGCAUGAGCUAUUAGACAUCUAGGCGAAUGCAUUACGUGGAUAUGAAAUUGUUCCUGAA